AUUACCUCGGGGCGCAGCAGUGGGGAAUAUUGCACAAUGGGGGGAACCCUGAUGCAGCGACGCCGCGUGAGCGAAGAAGUAUUUCGGUAUGUAAAGCUCUAUCAGCAGGGAAGAAAAUGACGGUACCUGACUAAGAAGCCCCGGCUAACUACGUGCCAGCAGCCGCGGUAAUACGUAGGGGACAAGCGUUAUCCGGAUUUACUGGGUGUAAAGGGAGCGCAGGCGGCGCGGUAAGUCUGAUGUGAAAGCCCGGGGCUCAACCCCGGGACUGCAUUGGAACUGCAUGGCUGGAGUACAGGAGGGGG
Molecule: ribosomal RNA, 305 nt
Filed under: uncultured bacterium
Lineage: Bacteria
Description: bacterial SSU rRNA
Rfam family: Bacterial small subunit ribosomal RNA
Source: RNAcentral